UCAUCCUCUCAGGAUUUACACCUGUUGUCGUGAGCAUGCGGCGUCACGACCCUCGCGUGAAAUCAAGAGAGGGGUU
RNAcentral lists this microRNA precursor (76 nucleotides) under Haemonchus contortus (barber pole worm). RNAcentral's name for it is "microRNA hco-mir-5946a precursor". Lineage: Eukaryota; Metazoa; Nematoda; Chromadorea; Rhabditida; Trichostrongylidae. The record is from miRBase by way of RNAcentral.